Non-coding RNA from Pogona vitticeps (central bearded dragon), 826 nucleotides. NCBI's taxonomy places the organism in Eukaryota, Metazoa, Chordata, Lepidosauria, Squamata, Agamidae. The record is from RefSeq and is a predicted model, not a curated record.
ACAAGGUGGUAUGUUGUCAUCUAUUUUUCAGUGCUCACCAGAGAACCAGCUUUUCUGGCAACUUAAAUCCUUACAGAUUCAUUUUCAUGUCUGGUAGAUACAUCAUGAUGUCUUCAACUGGCCAUAUACAACACACACAUCAUGGGUACUAUAAGGUCCUAUUUCAAGCUAGCAAGCUGGAGAGACAAGCCAACGGCAACCACAGUCCUGGGAUGAGAGACGGAAGAGAAAGGAGCAUGUGCAGUCUAUGCAGAGGCUUGGGAGACUAGCAGAAAGACUUGGGAGUCUAGUCGCUCUGAAGCUUUCCAUGGAUGGCUUCUGCAAAGAUGCAGAACCCAUUUGUGACUCUCAUAGAGACCACAGUGAAGAACUGCUUAUUUCCCCUGUUUCAUUACUUUCAUUCCAUGUCAUUUAUACUGUGAACAUGUCAGGAAGGCCUUACUCGCUUUCAUGGCAAAAACAAUAGUCUUGUGCAACCCUGUAGUUUUAUUUUACAUAAGCUGUUGUAGAUUGUAACCUGGCAGUAUCUAUCUACUGAGGCUUUAAGCUUCUAUGCUUCUGAAGUCACCUAAAGUCUGUUGCUGAUUAUCAUAGGCCUUGUUCUGCCUCAGUGUGAAAUUAUCCUUGACAAAGUCCAAGACAGCAUACAACAAAUAAAACGUGUCCGUCUUUCAGUUGCCAUAAAGCUCUUGCUUGAUUUUCCUGCAACAAACUAGCAUGGCUACUGUUUGGAACUUGCUUGUACUGAUCUGUUAUUAGAACUUGUUAUUGGACCAUUUUUGGCCAAAGGGGGGAUAUAAUGUGGUCUGUAAAUAAUAAAGGAGAU